RNAcentral lists this ribosomal RNA (605 nucleotides) under uncultured Actinomycetes bacterium. RNAcentral's name for it is "bacterial SSU rRNA". It matches the Rfam family "Bacterial small subunit ribosomal RNA", at positions 103 to 706 of the family's 1533-position model. Lineage: Bacteria; Bacillati; Actinomycetota; Actinomycetes. The record is from RNAcentral.
CGGGUGAGUAACACGUGAGUAACCUGCCCCCUUCUUUGGGAUAACGCCCGGAAACGGGUGCUAAUACUGGAUAUUCACUGGCCUUCGCAUGGGGGUUGGUGGAAAGGUUUUUUCUGGUGGGGGAUGGGCUCGCGGCCUAUCAGCUUGUUGGUGGGGUGAUGGCCUACCAAGGCUUUGACGGGUAGCCGGCCUGAGAGGGUGACCGGUCACAUUGGGACUGAGAUACGGCCCAGACUCCUACGGGAGGCAGCAGUGGGGAAUAUUGCACAAUGAGCGAAAGCCUGAUGCAGCGACGCCGCGUGAGGGAUGACGGCCUUCGGGUUGUAAACCUCUUUCGCUCAUGGUCAAGCCGCAGCUUUGGGUUGUGGUGAGGGUAGUGGGUAAAGAAGCGCCGGCUAACUACGUGCCAGCAGCCGCGGUAAUACGUAGGGCGCGAGCGUUGUCCGGAAUUAUUGGGCGUAAAGGGCUUGUAGGCGGUUGGUCGCGUCUGCCGUGAAAUCCUCUGGCUUAACUGGGGGCGUGCGGUGGGUACGGGCUGACUUGAGUGCGGUAGGGGAGACUGGAACUCCUGGUGUAGCGGUGGAAUGCGCAGAUAUCAGGAAGAA